This 70-nucleotide transfer RNA is filed under the name Ictidomys tridecemlineatus (thirteen-lined ground squirrel). RNAcentral describes it as "Spermophilus tridecemlineatus (thirteen-lined ground squirrel) tRNA". It matches the Rfam family "tRNA". From Rfam's summary of the family: Transfer RNA (tRNA) molecules are approximately 80 nucleotides in length. Their secondary structure includes four short double-helical elements and three loops (D, anti-codon, and T loops). Further hydrogen bonds mediate the characteristic L-shaped molecular structure. tRNAs have two regions of fundamental functional importance: the anti-codon, which is responsible for specific mRNA codon recognition, and the 3' end, to which the tRNAs corresponding amino acid is attached (by aminoacyl-tRNA synthetases). tRNAs cope with the degeneracy of the genetic code in two manners: having more than one tRNA (with a specific anti-codon) for a particular amino acid; and 'wobble' base-pairing, i.e. permitting non-standard base-pairing at the 3rd anti-codon position. Lineage: Eukaryota; Metazoa; Chordata; Mammalia; Rodentia; Sciuridae. The record is from Rfam by way of RNAcentral.
GGGGAUCUAGCUCAGUUGGUAGAGUGCUUGCCUUGCAUGCACAAGGCCCUGGGUUCAAUCCCCAGCACCA